UGGGGAAUUUUGCACAAUGGGGGAAACCCUGAUGCAGCAACGCCGCGUGAUUUAGAAGGCCUUCGGGUUGUAAAAAUCUUUUCUAUGGGAAGAAACUGACAGUACCAUAGGAAUAAGGACCGGCUAAUUACGUGCCAGCAGCCGCGGUAAUACGUAAGGUCCGAGCGUUGUCCGGAAUCAUUGGGCGUAAAGGGUACGUAGGCGGGUAAGCAAGUUAGAAGUGAAAUCCUAUAGCCCAACUAUAGUAAGCUUUUAAAACUGCUCAUCUUGAGGUAUGGAAGGGAAAGUGGAAUUCCUAGUGUAGCGGUGAAAUGCGCAGAUAUUAGGAGGAAUACCGGUGGCGAAGGCGACUUUCUGGCCAUAACCUGACGCUGAGGUACGAAAGCGUGGGUAGCAAACAGG
RNAcentral lists this ribosomal RNA (402 nucleotides) under bacterium. RNAcentral's name for it is "partial 16S ribosomal RNA". It matches the Rfam family "Bacterial small subunit ribosomal RNA", at positions 355 to 776 of the family's 1533-position model. The record is from RNAcentral.